AGCCUUAUGGUUUCUAUUUGGGCUUUCCUCACCACAAUUAUUUUUGUAGCCUAUAUGUAUAAUUUUUUUUAUACACAUACAAAUUAAAAUAAUUGUGCUGAGGAAAGCCCAAAUAGAAACCAUAAGGCU
Molecule: non-coding RNA, 129 nt
Organism: Paramuricea clavata
Lineage: Eukaryota; Metazoa; Cnidaria; Anthozoa; Malacalcyonacea; Plexauridae
Source: the annotation of a GenBank genome assembly